GCCGGGAUGGUCGUCGAGGGCAAGCACACCGGGCUCAUAACCCGGAGGCGGGAGGGCUGGGAGGUCUCCCCUGCGGC
RNAcentral lists this transfer RNA (77 nucleotides) under Mycobacterium phage Rabinovish. Its description in RNAcentral is "tRNA-Met". The record is from RNAcentral. Lineage: Duplodnaviria; Heunggongvirae; Uroviricota; Caudoviricetes.